This 4528-nucleotide long non-coding RNA is filed under the name Podarcis lilfordi (Lilford's wall lizard). Lineage: Eukaryota; Metazoa; Chordata; Lepidosauria; Squamata; Lacertidae. The record is from RNAcentral.
GGCUUUUAGGCUCGACAAAGGUUCACAAACACACACGCGUUGCCUUCAUCCCCCUGCUGCAAGUGUAGAUUGGCCAAAGGUUUGGUCCUCCGUAAGCACACUCCUGGGAUUUAUUUUUUUUACUCGGAAGUAAAGCUUGCGUUCAGAGGGUGUAGACGUGCAGCCUGAGGCACGCUCUUUCUCUUCACUCCUACAGGUUUCAUUUCACAUCAGGCUGCAAAACAGAGAGUACAUUGAAAUUUCUGGGUGAUCUGAAGUAGAUCAGGAAAGGUUCCUUCCUGACUCCCAGUUGUUUGCCCUAGGAAAGACUCCCGAGUAAGCAGGUAGUGUAACAAGGGGAGAUGCUGCCCUUCUGCGGAUUGGUAAAGAGUUCUAGCAAUGGAGGAAUUUAGAAAGUAGAGUCUCUAUUUUAAGGUUGUUUCUUGUCAUAGGGAAAAGGAACCGAACCAUAUCCCUAGAUCCACUUUUUAAAGACAAAAUUUGAUUCUAUUCACAUUGAAUAGGCACUUUGCACAUACUCACAACUCUCUCUCUUUAAAAAAGCCACAUGUAAGUCCAUGAUAUUGAACAGGCCCUACUAGUGUUGAACUACAACUUUCAUCAUCCCUGGCCAUUGACGUUCUAUUUCAGAACCAAACUUCCCCUUGACCUCUCUCAUCCCUGGUUAGCUUAGUCAUUUGUCUCAUCCUGCCAAGUGACAGUUGAUACAGAAUUUUAAACACCCUUAUACUGAGUCAGAUCACUGGUAUAUCUAGCCUAGUAGUGUGUAAUCUGAACUUCCAGUGGCUCUCUAGGGUCUCACUACAAUAACGCACUAAUUUGGAAGACAAAUUCCCACAAGAACAAAGUGCUCUUUUCGGUUUUUUACUGGUGGUGGUGGGGAACUUUACAUAAAUCUUUAAUGAAAGAGGAGCACCCCUUAGAAGGCAUAUGUUCCACCAACACCACACUAUUAACAGCAAUGAGCAUUUUUUGCUAAUGUGAUAUCUCCAAAGAACCUAAAAAGACGUAUCUGAAAGUCUGCUACUGCGCACAUCUGGAUGUCUACAGGGGGCAAGACACUCAAUUAUGGUUGCCAUAUUUUUAAAAAGUGAAAACCAGGACACCCUAAAGUUGUGUAAUAUCCGGGGUGUGCGUGUUGGUUUCUAGCACUUGUUGAACCUGAGAAAUUAAUCAAAAUGUACAGGCACUUGCUUUGUUUACCAUCUAGUUUUAUGAAGAGUUCUGGAGAACUCAAAUGUUUGCAUGCAGUUUUCUGAUAUUUUGGUUGGCCUAAUAAAGGUAUUGCCCUAAUCAGUGCUAUUUUUUCUAGAAAAAGAGGUGCCAGAACUCUCCAUGAACACCUCCCUCAUACUCUUAGUUCCAGUACCUCUCAGGUAGGUACCAUUGCCAUUCUGAGUUCUGGCAAGUUCCAGCUGAAAAAAAGCCCUGGCCCUAAUAUUCCCCCCCCCCCUUAUGACUUAAGACAGGCAAUUCUACAUAUUGUGUAACAACUGAUUAAUCUUUAAUACUUUAGUUAGUCUAUAAGACUUUAGCAGCAACAGUAACAACAGCUACAAUAUUAAAUUAGCACAAAAUAUUAAAAAGCACAAUGCUUUUAGAAAUAUACCCUUGUCCAGCUUUCCUCUCUACUUUAAAAUAAUAAUUUGCCUUUCCUUGUAACUGCAAUAGCAAACAUAUUCCUCCCUUAUAUAUCUUUUCCGGCAUUGCCUGCACAGUUAUUUGUAUAAAUUUAGAUUAUGGUUUCUUAGGACCAUUCAGAUUCCCCCUGAUUUAUAAUCACACAUUACAAUGUUAGUAAGGGAAAUGGUGUGGCUUUCAGAGAACACAAAGGGAAGUUCAAAAGGAGCUGUCGGACGUGUAGAUGGGGCUCUAUAGAAAGCAGAACUGCAUAAUUGCCAGCUCCCAAUUCAAAACCACAAGUUCAGCAACCUGUGAAAUUGAUUUAAAAGCUGUCAGGAAUAAUGUAUAAAAUACUGUCAGUUUCUUAGCCUCUGGAAUACACUGUAGUCACUGUAGAUCAAUUAUGUUUUAACAAUUAAUAGCUAAAUUCAGUAAUAUUGCACUUUAACAUAUAUUCAACCUGAAUGAAACUCCCCCUUAGUUUUAAAAUAACCUGCCAGAUGGGCAGAGUAUAAAUAAUAAAAUUGUUGUUGCUGCUGCUAAUGUUUAAACCUAGAUCUACCAUUUGUUCAUGACCCAUUGAACAUCCAUCAGCCUAUCCACACUUGCACUAUUCCUUUUGUUACAAAAAGCCCUGUGAGAGCAUGUGAAAAGCUCAGUGGAGCAGCAAUGAAACUAUUAUCAAAACGCCCUACCAUCAGCCUGCAAAAUCAUACACCAGAGAUCACAGUGUUCCCCGCUAUCAGUUUGCUAGCUGUAGCUGGGCCUAGGGACAUCCUAUUCCACAAUAAUAAUUUUACUAUUUAUACCCUGCCCAUCGGACUGGGUCACCCGAGCCACUCUCGGCGGCUUUCAAGAUGCCAUAUAAAAACAUAAUAAAACAUUAACUAUUUAAAAGCUUCCCUAUACAGGGCUGCCUUCAGAUGUCUUCCAGAGGUUGUACAGUGGUACCUCGGGUUAUAUACGCUUCAGGUUACAUACACUUCAGGUGACAGACUCCGCUAACCCAGAAAUAAUACCUCGGGUUAAGAACUUUGCUUCAGGAUGAGAACAGAAAUCAUGCUCUGGAGGCGCGGUGGCAGCAGGAAGCCCCAUUAGCUAAAGUGGUGCUUCAGGUUAAGAACAGUUUCAGGUUAAGUACAGACCUCAGGAACGAAUUAAGUACGUAACCAGAGGUACCACUGUAUAGUUAUUUACUGUAUUUAGGUGAAUCCAAUGCGCCAUCAAAUCUAAUGUGCACCCUAAUUUUCGCAACAUGAUUUGGCCAAAAAAGGUGUGCAUUACAUUUGAGUAAAUACGGUAUCUCCUUGGCUUGGGCGUCGCAUAUACUGUAGUAACUUUGUUAUUAACUGCCAUAUGCAGCUAUUUCUGUGAUUUUUAAGAUCUGUUGAUGAUGCCAAGAAAUCCUCCCAAGCACUUAAUAUACUGCAGCAGUUUGUGGCCUGGUGUUUUCAUUCCUUUCUUGAAAACACACCAGAAAGUUUGGCACUGAUACAUAGUGAAAUGCCAAACAUAUUUGCCUAGGAUGCUAGGCAAAAAUAGACGAUUUUGGCUGGCAAAACACAAUGGAAUUUUAUGUCAUGCUGCCAUAAGAGUUUGGUCAAGAACUUGCCAUCUAUCAGGGUCCAUAUCUGUUCAUCUUUUGAAACUGAUGGGUAAUCUGUCCUGCAUUUUCUAAGAAGAAAGCUGUUCUAAAUUACCAUUUCCACUAGAAUAUUUCAAAAAUUUGACAACUUGGAAGAAUAAUUAUAAAUCAGAUUCACGUCAGACAUUCAACAAGCUCCUUGGCAAUAGUGUUAUGAAAAGCAAUAUUUUGGUUAAAAGGAAAGGUUCAUCAGAAAAAGUACAUGAAGAAUUUUCUAAAAAAUGAGCACUUCCAAUGACAGUCCAAUGCUGAGUCCAAGCUGUAGUGGUAUAAUGUUCAGGGGUGUAAUGAGGCCAGUGAUUGGCUGUAUUCCACCAGUACAGUAUUUGAAAAGAGCUUUUUUGGAGAUCAAAUGUACCCUUAGGUGAGGGAUGGGGAACCUCUUUGGCCCAUACCUGUGAAGGAAGUGGAAUCUGAGCGUAAGCUGUCUCUUAACUGAAGCCCAGUCACCAAUAAGAUAUCCUCUUUUUAGAGUAAACAGUUCAUUUUUAACUCUAUACAUCCAGUAUCCAUUGGAACACUAAGAAACCCAUGCUUUGUCCUCUAUUUCAGUUCCACAGACACCCAUCUGACUGAAGCAGGGUGGAGUACAUUGACUUAGUCAUUGGUACCACCCAUUAGCGUUCAGUUAAAACAGAGGGUGGAUUACUGGGGGACUUUGGAAACUCACUAUAGAUCUCAGCCUAACUCAUCUUGCAGAAUGCCUCUAAGGAGAAAAUGUAGAAAAUGUAUAGAGGUCCAGUUUAACCCAUUAUUAGCCUUAGGGUAUUGCGGGGGGGGGGGGAAUCCACACAUGGUGUAGUGUAAUGGUAAAAAAGGAUGGAUUCUGCCACUCACAGCACAUUUAAGCUUUUCUCAUGAAAAAACCCCCAAGACCUUCUAGACAUAGGAUCCCUUUAAAACAAUUUCUUAGCCAAAUUCACCCUGAAUGUUCCUAUAAUUUUCACUGUGGGUUAGGAUUUCCACUUCAUCCUUCACACACAUUCUUAAUGAGAAAAAGUAGGGAGGGAGGGAGGAUGAAUUAUUUUACCAUGCCCAAAUAACCAAAGCUUAUUAAAGGCUCAAUAAUGCAAGGGGAUUUAUUUUGUGAUUGUCCCAUUAUAGGUAAAAAGCAUGUACUCAAGUCAAGCCGUGGAAUUAGCUAAAUCUGCCUGUUCUGACGGCAAGAAACAAGUAUUACAGCUUGCAGCUAUGGUAAAGACUUUGCCUUUUGAUAUAUUUAGUUUGUGGUUACACAAACUCUUUUCCAUUCCAGAUCAC